This 207-nucleotide long non-coding RNA is filed under the name Mytilus galloprovincialis (Mediterranean mussel). The record is from RNAcentral. Lineage: Eukaryota; Metazoa; Mollusca; Bivalvia; Mytilida; Mytilidae.
GUUCACCUGUCAUGGUAAUGUAUCAUGUGACAGUCAAUUUCUAAAGUUUAUGCGCUGAUCGUGGUAAAAGUGUCCAACAAUCUUAGAAUCAAGCCAUGCUUCGUUGACAUAAAUGUUAGAGAUAUUAUAACCCAUUUUGAGUAAUUUGAUACCGUAUCUUGUAUUUGAUAACUUACAUGUCGGCUUGGAUUUUUUUGUCGAAACGCA